GGAGGGUGCAAGCGUUGUUCGGAAUUAUUGGGCGUAAAGAGCGUGUAGGCGGUCCGGUAAGUCAGAUGUGUAAGCCCUGGGCUCAACCCAGGAAGUGCAUUUGAAACUACCAGACUUGAGUACGGGAGAGGAGGGGGGAAUUCCCGGUGUAGAGGUGAAAUUCGUAGAUAUCGGGAGGAAUACCAGUGGCGAAGGCGCCCCUCUGGACCGAUACUGACGCUGAGACGCGAAAGCGUGGGGAGCAAACAGGAUUAGAUACCCUGGUAGUCCACGCCGUAAACGAUGAGCACUAGGUGUAGCGGGUAUUGACCCCCCUGCUGUGCCCGUAGCUAACGCAUUAAGUGCUCCGCCUGGGGACUACGGUCGCAAGACUA
Molecule: ribosomal RNA, 374 nt
Filed under: uncultured organism
Description: partial 16S ribosomal RNA
Rfam family: Bacterial small subunit ribosomal RNA
Source: RNAcentral